CCUACGGGGGGCAGCAGUGGGGAAUAUUGGACAAUGGGGGGAACCCUGAUCCAGCCAUGCCGCGUGUGUGAAGAAGGCCCUCGGGUUGUAAAGCACUUUCAGUGAGGAAGAACGCCUGGUGGUUAAUACCCAUCAGGAAAGACAUCACUCACAGAAGAGGCACCGGCUAACUCCGUGCCAGCAGCCGCGGUAAUACGGAGGGUGCGAGCGUUAAUCGGAAUUACUGGGCGUAAAGCGCGCGUAGGUGGCUUGAUAAGCCGGUUGUGAAAGCCCCGGGCUCAACCUGGGAACGGCAUCCGGAACUGUCAAGCUAGAGUGCAGGAGAGGAAGGUAGAAUUCCCGGUGUAGCGGUGAAAUGCGUAGAGAUCGGGAGGAAUACCAGUGGCGAAGGCGGCCUUCUGGACUGACACUGACACUGAGGUGCGAAAGCGUGGGUAGCAAACAGGAUUAGAUACCCUAGUAGUC
Molecule: ribosomal RNA, 465 nt
Filed under: Vreelandella stevensii
Lineage: Bacteria; Pseudomonadati; Pseudomonadota; Gammaproteobacteria; Oceanospirillales; Halomonadaceae
Description: partial 16S ribosomal RNA
Rfam family: Bacterial small subunit ribosomal RNA
Source: RNAcentral